Molecule: long non-coding RNA, 5891 nt
Filed under: Canis lupus familiaris (dog)
Lineage: Eukaryota; Metazoa; Chordata; Mammalia; Carnivora; Canidae
Description: lncRNA (ENSCAFG00845019129.1)
Source: RNAcentral
UUAAGUGGAAUAAGAUAGAGAAAGAAAAAUCAUAUGAUUACACUUAUCAUUUAAAAAUUUAAAUGGAAUUUAAAAAAAAACAAAUAGACAAAACAAAAGAACAGAAAUAGAACCAUAAAUACGGAGAACAACCUGGUGAUUACCAGAGGAGAGCCACCUCCUCUGGAAAAUGGGUGACGGGGAGUAGGAGGUAUAGGCUUCUAGUUAUGGAGUGAGUAAGUCACGGGGAUGAAAGAUACCACAUAGGGAAUGUAGUCAAUGGUAUUGCAAAAGCAUUGUAUGAGGACAGUUAGUAGCUACGCUUGUGCUGAGCAUGGCAUAAUGUAUGAAGCUGUCAAAUCUUCAUACUGUAUACCUGAAACUAAUGUAACAUUGUGUGUCAGCUAUACUUCAAUUUUUUAAAAAAUUGCAUUAAAAAAUAUAUGUAUGGGCAACUUGCAAGCAAAGCCCAUCAACUCUUACACCAGUUUGUGACUAGUCUGGAGGGAGAUCCCCCAGAAGAGAGCAGAAAUUCUGUCUUUUCUGAGAGUAGGUCAACAAACAAUUGAGUAGUUUUAAUUAUACAGAUAGAAUAACAGGACAUUAGAUGCAGAAUAUUAAAAUCUGCAUCAUCCAAGGAAGUUGAUUUUUUUUUUUUGGUCUAUUUGAGAAAGAGAGAAAGAGCAGUGGGAAGGGCAGAAGAAAAGGGGAAGCAGGCUCCCCAUGAUCAGGGAGCCCGACUUGGAGCCCAGGACCCCAAGAUCAUAACUGAGCUGAAGUCAGACGCUUAACUGACUGAGCCACCCAGGUGCCCCUAAGGAAGAUGAUUUUAAACAUAGGUAGACAUAUAGAGGACUAUCACCAGCCAACAGUAAAGUGCACUAGAGUUCAUGUAAGAAGGAAUUCAAAGAAGAAAGACCCAACAAGCAAUAUUACAAACUACAAACUUGAACAGCUUUUCAAGUCAGCCACUGAGUGGAGCCAACCCCAGGAGUUUGGUUUCUGCUGGUCUCGUGCUGUCCUGACAGAUCCUGGAAGCAACAGUUCCACAUUGGCCUUAUAAAGAAGAAGGACUGCGAUCCAGCAAUCCCAAGAAUGUAUUCUCACUAUUCACAACAGCCAUAAAAAUGGAAACAACCCCGUGCUCAUCAGCUGAUGAAUGGAUAAAUAGAAUAUAAUAUAUCCAUACAAUGGACUAUAUGCAGCCAUAAAAAGUAAUGACGUACUGAUGCGUGCCAGGCACAAAAGGAUAUAUAUUGUGUGAUUUCAUUUUUAUGAAAUAGCUGGAAUAGGCAAAUCCAUAGAGACAGAAAAUAGAGAAGUAGUUGCCAGGAGCUGGGAAGGUUUGGGAGGUUGGGGAGAUGACAACUCAUAGGUACAGCUUCUUUUGUGGAUCAUGAAAAUUGAUUAUAAUGAUGAGUGUACAACUGCCACUCAGGUGCCCCAAAUAUUGACUUAGUUUUAAAAAUAUUAAAUAGAAUUACCAAAUGAGGGGUACCUGGGUGGCUCAGUGGUUGAGCAUCUGUCUGCCUCUGACUCCGGUCGUGAUCCCAGGGGUCCUGGGAUCGAGUUCUGCAUCUCCCUCUGCCUGUGUCUCUGCCUCUCUUUCUGUGUCUCUCAUGAAUAAAUAAAUAAAAUUGUUUAAAAAAGAAAAAGAAUUACCAAAUGACCUAGCAAUUCUACUUCUGACAUUAUUUGUAAUCAUCAAGAAGUGGAAGCAACCCAAGUAUCCGUCAGCAGAUACAUGGAUAAACAAAAUGGUCUGUGCAUACAGUGGAGUAUUUUCAACCUUAAGAAGGAAGGAGCUUCUGACACGUGCUACAAAGGGAUGAACUUUGAAGACAGUAUGCCCAGUGAUGUAACCCAGGCCAAAAAGGACAAACAUUGUGUGAUUCCACUUACAGGAGGGAGGUCCUUACGGAAAGUAGCAUGGUUGCCAGGGUAAGGGAGGAAUGAAAAGUUACAGUUUAAUGGGUACAGAGUUUCAGUUUGGGAAGGUGAAAAAGUUAAGAUGAAUGAUGGCCAUGUUUUUACAGCAUUGUGAAUGUGCUUAAUGCCACUAAAGCAUACACUUCAAAAUAGAGCAGCAAAUUUAUGUUAUAUGUAUUUUACCACAAUAAAAAACAGUAUUGGGUGUAUUUCAAAUUUUAGAGCAGGAAAGCUUUUUUUGAGUGGGUUCAACUGGAAUAUUUAAAAGUCCUUAUUUGUGAAGGAGACAAGGCCUGAGACAUCCAGAGUGAACCCCACCAAAGGAGCUAAUAAAAGGCACACUUGGGCAGCCCAGAGGCUCAGCGGUUUAGCAACGCCUUCGGCCCAGGGCGUGAUCCUGGAGCCCUGGUAUCGAGUCCCAUGUCGGGCUCCCUGCAGGGAGCCUGCUUCUCCCUCUGCCUGUGUCUCUCCCCGCCCCCCUCCUCUCUCUCUGUGUCUCUCAUGAAUGGAUUAAAAAAAAAAAUCUUAAAAAAAAAAAGGCACACCUGGAGGGAAUCCACACUCCAGUCACAGUCCCAAGCCAUGUAGUUAGCUGGAAAGAAGAAUAAGUAGGGAUGAGGUACGCUUGAUUACGUUCUUUCCUGUAUAUUAGUUUGCAAUGGCUGGGAUUUUGUUUCUUAACCACUCUACUCUCCCCCAGCUUUAAUAAGGUUUGCUGGACAAAUAAAAAAUGUGUGUAUUAAAGUGUAUAACAUGAUAUUUUGAUAGACAUAUAAAUUGGGACAUGAUUACCCCAAACUCAUUAAAAUGUCCAGCAUUGUACAUAGCUACCCUUCCAUGUGCAUGUGGUGAGAACACUUGGGAUCUACUCUCUUUAGCGAGUUUUAUUAUUAAUAACCGUGGUCACCAUACUGUACAUUAGGUAUCCAGGAUGUAAACUUACUUAGAACUCAAAGUUUGUACCCUUUGAUCAAACCUCCCUCCCCCAUUUCCUCCACCCUCCCCCCCCAGCCUUUGGUAACUACCAUUCUCUCUGUUACUAUGAAUGUGACUUUUAUUAGUAGGAUCAUUGCCAGUAUUUGUCUUUGUCCAGCUUGUUUCAUUUAAUAUUAGGUCUUCCAAGUUCAUCUAUAUUUUUGCAAAUGGUAGGAUUUCCUUCUUUUUAUGGCUGAAUAAUACUCCACUGUGUGUGUGUGUGUGUGUGUGUGUGUGUGUGUGUGUGUGUGUGUGUGUUUGUGUGUGUAUUCAUUUAUAUAGACAUUUUCUUUAUCCCUUCACCUGUUUGGGACACGUGGGUUGUUUCCAUUUCGUGGCUUAGAACAAUACGUCAAUGAACCUAGGAGGACAGAUACCUCUUUGGGACACUGAUUUUAUUUCCUUGGCUAUUGACCCAAAAGCAGGAUUGCUGGAUCAUGUGGUAGUUCUAUUUUUAGUAUUUUGAGGAAGCUGCACACUGUUAUUCCAUAAUGGCUAUAUGAACUUGUUUUUUAAAUUUUACUAUGGAAAAACAUGGAUAAAUACAAAAGUAUAUAGAAUAGCAUAAUGAUCUCCAUGUACUGAUCACCUUUAAUCAUUUUAUACUCAUGGCCAAUGGUAUUUUAUCUGUAUGUGAACCCAUGCCCUCCCAUAUUAUCUAGAGAAAAAUUUGUAUUUCAUACAAAACUAUUUUGGUACAAAUCUGAGAAGUUUUUUUUAACAUAAACUAUAAUGCCAUUAUCAUUCCUAACAAAUUAAUAAUAAUUCCUAAGUAUCAUAAAAUAUACAGCAUCUAAAUUUUGAACUGUCUCAUAAUCUUUUAAACUGCAUGUUUCAAUUAAGAUCCAAAUCAGCUUCUGGAUUUCCUUAAAGGUAGAAGUCUUGCCUGAAUCCUUUUUUUUUUUUUUUCCUCACUCUUGUUUUUCCUUAUAAUUCAUUUGCUGACAAAGUUAAGUUCUUAUGUCUGGAUUUUGCUGAUUUCAUCUGUUUUGUCACUUACUUGUAUAAAAAAUGGUAGUUGAAUCUUAACCGUUAGGUUCUUAACUUUGGCUAGACGUUAGACUCACCUAGAGAGCUUUUAAAAAAAAAAACCCUGACAUGUGUGGAAAUAGUUUGGCAGUUCCUAAAUAAAAGCAUAAAGCUAUCAUGUGACCCAGCAAAAUUAUUGAAACAGGUGUUCAAAGAAAAACUUUUACGCAAAUGUAGCAGUAUUCCUCACAAUAGCCAGAAGGUGGAAACAACCCAACUGUCCUUCAGCUGAGGCAUGGAUAAACAAAAUAUGGUAUACCCAUACAAUAGAGCCCAUUCCAUUAAUGGAAAAUUAAUAAAAUACUGUUACAUGCUUCAAUCCAGAUAAGCCUUGAAAACAUGUUAAGUGGAAGAAGUCUGACACAGAGGCCAUAUAUCUUAUGGUUCCAGGUAUAUGAACUGUCCAGACUGGGGAAAUCCAGAGACAUCAAGUAGGUUAGUGGUGGCCAGGGGCUGAGGGGAGGGGAAAGGUGAGUGACUACUUAACGCGUAUGGGGCUCGAUAGCAGUCAUGGGUAUACCACAGUGUCAAUGUCGUUAACAUACACUUUAAAGUGGCUUAAAUAGUAAGUUUUAUGUUAUGUAUUUGACCACAAGUUUUAAAACUCCUGAUGUGAAAGCCACACCGAGGCUAAGUAAACCAUAAUCUCUUAAGUGUGACCCAAACAUCAGAAUAUUCUAAUGCUCUCCAAGGGAUGCCGGUGUACUGCCAAGACUUGGAAUUCUUGGUGGAGGCUGGAUUUCAAGCCUUCUUCGUAGGUGGUAGUGGAGGUGUGAUAUAUUUAAGUUUGUGCCAGUCUGUUCACUUGUUCUUGGGAAUAGCUAUGUCUUUUCUGCUUAGAGUCAGCAGAUGCUGUCAGAAAUCGCUGCUUCAAGUCACGCAAAAUGUUGUCUCUUUUUUUAGAAAAUAAAUUUUGGAAAACUGGAGAAGGAAAAGAUCAUCUUGCAUUGACCUGAGUGGGGUUUUUUAAAACUUGUGUUAGUUGGCAUACAGUGUUCCAUUAGUUUCGGGUGUACAAAAUAGUGACUCAACCUUGUUUUUUUAAUAGGAGAGAAAAAGGCCCUCCAUUCUUUUCUAACUGCCCCUGAGCUUUGGAAGGCAGCCAGUGUGGCCCAUGGGGUGGGGGCACCGUGCAAGGGGCCCCACAGCCUCCCAGCACACACCCUGCCAAAGCGGGUGCUCUCCUGGCUACUCCUUGAGAAGACCUACGGGCAAGAGGCCAAAUAACCCCCACUGGUGCUCGGGGAGGGCAGUGAACUUUCUCUUGUCAUCUUUCUCAACCAGGGACGGCUCAGGAGGUCAUCGGCCCUGUCGAAUCUCAGCAGAGCUUGCUUCCCGACCUCAGGAAGGAAACUGCCAUUUCCUUAGCCUCCCAUGAGCCCGUAUCAGGCCACGGCUGUUGCCAGCUCUGUGGCUUUGGCAGAGUUACAAAUAGGCUAAAUGUAGACCGGGAGUCCUAGUUCUCCUCUGCUUCAGCCAGCUUCCUUUUCUGGCAAAAUCUGAAUAAACCCAAAAACACUGGGCAAGCAGCUUGUUGCUCCCCAUGCAGCUUCACAAAGUUAAAUCCUUUAAGAGAUCCAAGAGAUGGAUGGCUUGUAACAUCCUUUGCUCUGCAUCACUCCAUGAACAUCCUAAACUCCCAUUCCUGAAAGUGAGGCUGAGAGGCAUCCCUGGAGGAGAACGAGACAUUAAAAUGUCCUCUGGUCAGAAGGACUCUUCUCUUUGAAUAACAUGGGGUUUCCAUUUAAAAUAUUAAUUAGAAAGAAUAGAAGACACUUAUUCCAAGGACGUGUGCUGUCCAAGGUCAUUUAGAUUUGGUUCUGAACCCAAUUCCCCUCACCAGCAACAUUUCUAGAUUCAUCUCCAACCCAGAAGCAGACCCUGCUUCUUCCUUUCCAUGCCCUGACCCUUGAUAUGCUUGUUCAGCUCUAAUAAAGUAUAAAGCUUGGUUGUGAAUAUUAAAAAAAAAAAAAAAAAAA